GGCACAGAUACUGCAUAUGCUAGGGCGGAGCUUCGAACAAGGUAUUGUUCGGGGGAGUCGGCACAGCGCCGGCGUUAUCGCUUU
This 84-nucleotide small RNA is filed under the name Xanthomonas vasicola pv. vasculorum NCPPB 702. RNAcentral describes it as "Xanthomonas campestris pv. vasculorum NCPPB702 rpfG RNA". It matches the Rfam family "rpfG RNA". The record is from Rfam by way of RNAcentral. Lineage: Bacteria; Pseudomonadati; Pseudomonadota; Gammaproteobacteria; Lysobacterales; Lysobacteraceae.